AUACGGAGGAUCCGAGCGUUAUCCGGAUUUAUUAGGUUUAAAGGGUGCGCAGGCGGUACUGUAAGUCACCGGUGAAAUCCUACAGCUUAACUGUAGAACUGCCGGUGAUACUGCGAUUCUUGAGUAUAGUUGAGGUAGGCGGAAUGUGUAGUGUAGCGGUGAAAUGCAUAGAUAUUACACAGAACACCGAUUGCGAAGGCAGCUUACUAAACUAUUACUGACGCUCAUGCACGAAAGCGUGGGGAGCGAACAGGAUUAGAAACCCUAGUAGUCC
This 274-nucleotide ribosomal RNA is filed under the name uncultured bacterium. Its description in RNAcentral is "partial 16S ribosomal RNA". It matches the Rfam family "Bacterial small subunit ribosomal RNA", at positions 523 to 796 of the family's 1533-position model. The record is from RNAcentral.